Molecule: ribosomal RNA, 1591 nt
Filed under: human gut metagenome
Description: bacterial LSU rRNA
Rfam family: Bacterial large subunit ribosomal RNA
Source: RNAcentral
AUUCCGUGAUAGCUGGUUCUCUCCGAAAUGCAUUUGGGUGCAGCGUCGGGUCAUUGCGUCGCGGGGGUAGAGCUACCGGAUGCUUGCGGGCCCUUGUUGGGUACCAACAGCAGCCGAACUCCGAAUACCGUUGACGUGUAUUCCGGCAGUGAGUCGGCGGGGGAUAAGCUCCGUCGUCGAGAGGGAGACAGCCCAGACCGUCGUCUAAGGUCCCGAAGCGUGUGCUAAGUGGGAAAGGAUGUGGAGUCGCAUAGACAGCCAGGAGGUUGGCUCAGAAGCAGCCACCCUUGAAAGAGUGCGUAACAGCUCACUGGUCUAGUGGUUCCGCGCCGACAAUGUAGCGGGGCUCAAGCACACCACCGAAGACGCGGCAGCAAUCUUCAUGGUUGCUGGGUAGGAGAGCGUCCUGCGAGGGGCGAAGCGGCCGGGUAACCGUGCCGUGGACUUCGUGGGAGUGAGAAUGCAGACAUGAGUAGCGAGAGACGGGUGAAGAUCCCGUCCGCUGGAUGACCAAGGGUUCCAGGGCCACGUUCAUCGUCCCUGGGUGAGUCGGGUCCUAAGGCGAGGCCGACAGGCGUAGUCGAAUGGAUGAACGGGUGGAUAUUCCCGUACCGACCAUGGACCGGCAAAACCGAGACGGUGAGUACUAACCUCCGCCUCGUGGUGGUUCCUUCCUUCGGGUUGGUUCCGCCGCGUGGUGUUGGGACUGUAGCCGUAGUAGGUCAGCGCAGGGGUGACACGGAAUGGGAGCCGGCCGCGGAGGUGGUUUUCCGUGGUCAAGCACGCAGCCAGUCAUGUAGGCAAAUCCGCAUGGCGCGCAUGGCGAGGUGUGAUGAUGGGAGCCGUUAUGGCUCGAUAUCCGGUUGUCCAGGCCGUCGAGAAAAGCCUCGGCGUGAGGGCCAUGGCCGCCCGUACCCCAAACCGACACUGGUGGUCAGGUAGAGAAUACCAAAGCGAUCGAGCGAAUCCUGGUCAAGGAACUCGGCAAAUCACUCCCGUGCCUUCGGUAUAAGGGAGACCCGCUGGGGUGAACCGGCUAGCCCGGGGAGCUUUGGUGGGUGGCACAGACCAGGGGGUAGCGACUGUUUACCAAAAACACAGGUGCAUGCGAAGGCGAAAGCCGCUGUAUAUGCACUGACGCCUGCCCGGUGCCGGAAGGUUAAGAGGAUCCGUCAGCCUUCGGGUGAAGCGGUGAAUUCAAGCCCCGGUAAACGGCGGUGGUAACUAUAACCAUCCUAAGGUAGCGAAAUUCCUUGUCGGGUAAGUUCCGACCUGCACGAAUGGCGUAACGACUUCCCCACUGUCUCGACCAGGAGCUCGGCGAAAUUGCAGUACGAGUAAAGAUGCUCGUUAAGCGCAGAAGGACGAAAAGACCCCGGGACCUUUACUAUACCUUGGUAUUGGCGUUAGGCGCGGAUUGUGUAGCAUAGGCGGGAGGCUUCGAAGCGGGUGCGCCAGCAUUCGUGGAGCCGCAAGGUGAAAUACCGCUCUGUUCUCGUUUGACGUCUAACCUCGACAAGUCAUCCUUGUCAGGGACAGUGCCUGGCGGGUAGUUCAACUGGGGCGGUUGCCUCCCAAAGAGUAACGGAGG